AGAGUUUGAUCAUGGCUCAGAAUCAACGCUGGCGGCGUGCCUAACACAUGCAAGUCGAACGCGAAAGGGGGCAACCCCCGGUAGCGUGGCAGACGGGUGAGUAACACGUGGGUAACCUACCCGGAGGUGGGGGAUAACCCUUCGAAAGGAGGGCUAAUACCGCAUGACAUCGCGGGGACCUCGGUCCUUGCGAUCAAAGCUGGCCUCUGUUUACAAGCUAGCGCCACCGGAUGGGCCCGCGCCCCAUUAGCUAGUUGGUGAGGUAACGGCUCACCAAGGCGACGAUGGGUAGCCGGCCUGAGAGGGCGAUCGGCCACACUGGAACUGCGACACGGUCCAGACUCCUACGGGAGGCAGCAGUGAGGAAUCUUGCGCAAUGGGCGAAAGCCUGACGCAGCGACGCCGCGUGGAGGAUGAAGGUCUUCGGAUUGUAAACUCCUGUCGAGUGGGACGAAUGCCGUGAGGGUUAAUAGCCUUCGCGGUGACGGUACCGCUGA
Molecule: ribosomal RNA, 497 nt
Filed under: uncultured Acidobacteriaceae bacterium
Lineage: Bacteria; Pseudomonadati; Acidobacteriota; Terriglobia; Terriglobales; Acidobacteriaceae
Description: bacterial SSU rRNA
Rfam family: Bacterial small subunit ribosomal RNA
Source: RNAcentral